AUGUCAUUCCACGGCGGCAGCAGCUCCGGCACCGGCGGCGACGACGGACCCAGCGCGUGGCCGUCGAGCCUGAGCAUGCCGGAGACGGAGGAGCUUUACCGGUUUGGGCUCCUCGUGGCGGCGGCGAUUCCGCCAGUGGUCCCACAGGCGGAGGCGGAGGCGUCGGAGUCGUCGGACGACGACGUCAUCGACUGGGAGCGUUAG
This 204-nucleotide ribosomal RNA is filed under the name Triticum aestivum (bread wheat). RNAcentral's name for it is "partial small subunit ribosomal RNA". Lineage: Eukaryota; Viridiplantae; Streptophyta; Magnoliopsida; Poales; Poaceae. The record is from RNAcentral.